RNAcentral lists this ribosomal RNA (202 nucleotides) under uncultured bacterium. RNAcentral's name for it is "partial 16S ribosomal RNA". It matches the Rfam family "Bacterial small subunit ribosomal RNA", at positions 334 to 527 of the family's 1533-position model. The record is from RNAcentral.
UACUCCUACGGGAGGCAGCAGUGGGGAAUAUUGGACAAUGGGCGAAAGCCUGAUCCAGCCAUGCCGCGUGUGUGAAGAAGGCCUUUUGGUUGUAAAGCACUUUAAGCGAGGAGGAGGCUACCGAGAUUAAUACUCUUGGAUAGUGGACGUUACUCGCAGAAUAAGCACCGGCUAACUCUGUGCCAGCAGCCGCGGUAAUAAU